AGUGAACGCUGGCGGCGUGCUUAACACAUGCGAGUCGAACGAGAACGGGAUAUAGCUUGCUAUAUUUGUCAGCUAAGUGGCGCACGGGGGAGUAAUGUAUAGGUAAUAUGCCUCUUACUAAGGGAUAACAAUUGGAAACGAUUGCUAAUACCUUAUAUGCCUUUAAGACUAAAGUCUGCAAGGGAAAGAUUUAUUGGUAAGAGAUUAGCCUGUAUUGUAUCAGCUAGUUGGUGAGGUAAUGGCUCACCAAGGCUAUGACGCAUAACUGGUUUGAGAGGAUUAUCAGUCACACUGGAACUGAGACACGGUCCAGACUCCUACGGGAGGCAGCAGUGGGGAAUAUUGCACAAUGGACGAAAGUCUGAUGCAGCAACGCCGCGUGGAGGAUGACACAUUUCGGUGCGUAAACUCCUUUUAUAUAGGAAGAUAAUGACGGUACUAUAUGAAUAAGCACCGGCUAACUCCGUGCCAGCAGCCGCAGUAA
This 484-nucleotide ribosomal RNA is filed under the name uncultured bacterium. RNAcentral describes it as "partial 16S ribosomal RNA". It matches the Rfam family "Bacterial small subunit ribosomal RNA", at positions 29 to 523 of the family's 1533-position model. The record is from RNAcentral.